RNAcentral lists this small RNA (4277 nucleotides) under Pan troglodytes (chimpanzee). RNAcentral describes it as "retained intron". Lineage: Eukaryota; Metazoa; Chordata; Mammalia; Primates; Hominidae. The record is from RNAcentral.
GAGUGUCACUCUGUCCCCCAGUCUGGCGUGCAAUGGUUUGAUCUCGGCUCACUGCAACCUCCACCUCCCGGGUUCAACCUCCUGCCUCAGCCUUCCGAGCAGCUGGGACUACAGGAGCCUGCCACCACAUCUGGCGAAUUUUUGUAUUUUUAGUAGAGAAGGGGGUUCAGCAUGUUGUCCAGGUUGGUCUUGAACUCCUGACCUCAGGUGAUCCAGCCACUUUGGCCUCACAGAGUGCUGGGAUUAUAGGCCAGAGCCAUGGCGCCCGGCCCACUCAGCAGGAUUCCUAGAAUGGGCAGGAGCUCUGCCCUCAUCAGAGUCCAAAAGUGAGCACCUGGCUGGAGCUGCCCAGAAACAGCCUUGGGGGGUGGGGUUGGUGUCUGACCUCCCUCCCCGGGGGCCUUCGCAGGCUUCUGCUGGUGCUUCUGUGCCUGUGGGUCUGGAUUCCUCCAGGGCCUGAUCCUGGGUGCAGAUGCGGCUGGAAGCCCUGAGCCUGCUGCACACACUAGUCUGGGCACGGAGUCUCUGCCGUGUCGGAGCCGUGCAGACACAGGAGCGGCUGUCAGGCAGCGCCAGCCCUGAGCAAGUGCCAGCUGGUGAGUGCUGUGCUCUGCAGGAGUAUGAGGCCGCCGUGGAGCAGCUCAAGAGCGAGCAGAUCCGGGCGCAGGCUGAGGAGAGGAGGAAGACCCUGAGCGAGGAGACCCGGCAGCACCAGGCCAGGGCCCAGUAUCAAGACAAGCUGUCCCGGCAGCGCUACGAGGACCAACUGAAGCAGCAGCAACUUCUCAAUGAAGAGAAUUUACGGAAGCAGGAGGAGUCCGUGCAGAAGCAGGAAGGCAUACGGCGAGCCACCGUGGAGCGGGAGAUGGAGCUGCGGCACAAGAACGAGAUGCUGCGAGUGGAGGCCGAGGCCCGGGCGCGCGCCAAGGCCGAGCGGGAGAAUGCAGACAUCAUCCGCGAGCAGAUCCGCCUGAAGGCGGCCGAGCACCGUCAGACCGUCUUGGAGUCCAUCAGGACGGCUGGCACCUUGUUUGGGGAAGGAUUCCGUGCCUUUGUGACAGACCGGGACAAAGUGACAGCCACGGUGGCUGGGCUGACGCUGCUGGCUGUCGGGGUCUACUCAGCCAAGAAUGCGACAGCCGUCACUAGCCGCUUCAUCGAAGCUCGGCUGGGGAAGCCGUCCCUAGUGAGGGAGACGUCCCGCAUCACGGUGCUGGAGGCGCUGCGGCACCCCAUCCAGGUCAGCCGGCGGCUCCUCAGUCGACCCCAGGACGUGCUGGAGGGUGUUGUGCUGAGUCCCAGCCUGGAAGCACGGGUGCGCGACAUCGCCAUAGCAACAAGGAACACCAAGAAGAACCGGGGCCUGUACAGGCACAUCCUGCUGUACGGGCCACCAGGCACCGGGAAGACGCUCUUUGCCAAGAAACUCGCCCUGCACUCAGGCAUGGACUACGCCAUCAUGACAGGCGGGGACGUGGCCCCCAUGGGGCGGGAAGGCGUGACCGCCAUGCACAAGCUCUUUGACUGGGCCAAUACCAGCCGGCGCGGCCUCCUGCUCUUCAUGGAUGAAGCAGACGCCUUCCUUCGGAAGCGAGCCACCGAGGAGAUAAGCAAGGACCUCAGAGCCACACUGAACGCCUUCCUGUACCACAUGGGCCAGCACAGCAACAAAUUCAUGCUGGUCCUGGCCAGCAAUCUGCCUGAGCAGUUUGACUGCGCCAUCAACAGCCGCAUCGACGUGAUGGUCCACUUCGACCUGCCGCAGCAGGAGGAGCGGGAGCGCCUGGUGAGACUGCAUUUUGACAACUGUGUUCUUAAGCCAGCCACAGAAGGAAAACGGCGCCUGAAGCUGGCCCAGUUUGACUACGGGAGUAAGUGCUCGGAGGUCGCUCGGCUGACGGAGGGCAUGUCGGGCCGGGAGAUCGCUCAGCUGGCCGUGUCCUGGCAGGCCACGGCGUAUGCCUCCAAGGACGGGGUCCUCACUGAGGCCAUGAUGGACGCCUGUGUGCAAGAUGCUGUCCAGCAGUACCGACAGAAGAUGCGCUGGCUGAAGGCGGAGGGGCCUGGGCGCGGGGUUGAGCACCCCCUAUCCCGAGUCCAAGGCGAGACUCGCACCUCAUGGAGCCUGGCCGCGGACCCCUCCUACCCCUGCCUUGCCGGCCCCUGCACAUUUAGGAUAUGCUCCUGGGUGGGGACUGGGCUGUGCCCAGGGCCUCUGUCCCCCAGGAUGUCUUGUGGUGGGGGUCAGCCGUUCUGCCCCUCAGGACACCCCCUGUUGUAGGCACUGGCUAGGGAGGGGCAGGCCUCCUUCCUGCCCCUCGAGACACUCUUGGGAGAUGCAUUUUCCGUCUGGCUCACAGGGGGAGGGUGAGGCUUUGUACCCCAGCCCCUGCCCAGGCCACUGGGAGGGUGGGUGCUGGCUGAGCCCCUGGGGCAGAAGGAGUGGGGCAGGCGGGGUCUUUGUUCUUGGCUCCCACAGCAGAGCCAGGUGAGCCGGGGCCUGUCAGGACUAGACAGAAGUGGGGCGGCCUGAACACUGCUUCCAGCCGUGGCCAGGGAACCUGGCAGGGGUGUCUGAGGCCGCACUGUCGGCUGGCCGGUCCAAGCCUGUGGCUGGAGCUGGUGUGUGUUUAUCUAAUAAAGUCCCACAGGUGCCUCACCACCGUGUCUCUCUAUUGACUGACACUACUCGGGGUUUCAGGGGCGCCCUAGCGUCCUCCUGGGGUCAAAGGUGACAUAAGAGGCAGAGGCUGGAGCUUUCUGGAGAAUUUACUGAUCACAGAGCGGUGCGCUUCACAUCAGCCUCACGCCACAGCUGGGUUGGGGUCUGAAUGCUGCCCGGGACUGGCCGCCUGCGCCCCACCAGCCCCUCCCUCCUGAAGGCCGGGCCCCCGAGAAGAAUGAGGCUGCAGAGUGAUGUGGGGGCCAGCGGUGACUUCAUGACCACACUGUGCUCAGGUGUAAGAGGGCACGCUUCUGCCCAGGCAUCGUCCAUGGAAGACACGCAGUCGGCCACUGCAGCCUCGGUCCUGGAUGCCCUGGGGCUGGGUCACUGGGGGCCACAGGCCACACUGGGAGACCACAGUCCUGGCGUACCAUGCAGCUCCCUGUCCCCAGAGGUCUGCUCAGAUGCAGAGAGCUCAGGAAGCACACUCGCUGCCUGAAUUCUGGGAGCAGAGCGUGGUACCCACUGCCUGGCUGGGGCCUACUCUGGCACUGCAGCCCCUGUCCCCGCUGGCCCAGGCUUCCGGAGGCAGCUGCGUCCCUGUCUUGGCUCAAGGUCAGGCUGGAGGCCAGGCUGUCCACCUGCAUCUGGAACCUGCACAGUCACUCCUCCAGGUCCUCGCUGCUGGAGGACUCCCAGACAGGAAACCUUUGCUUUGGGGGCAGGGCGGGGUGCAAGGGUGGUCGGGGGAAUCACAGCAACGAAACAGCACAGUGCCACGGCGCAGAGCCUCAUAUUAUUGGUGGAUGAAACAAUGCUUUCUGAACUUUGUGUCCUUAGGAAGGGUGUAGGCUGUUGGUUGAAGUAGGAAACAGAAGAGGAGCCUGGGCACGCAACGGGCCCAUCGGAGAGCAGACCCCUCGGAGCUGCAGUGCUUGGAGGGAGGCUGUCUACCUCUGCUCGCUCUCUCCAUUUCUCUCUUUUUCCUUUUAGAGAUGGGUUCUUACUCUGAGCCCAGGCUGGAGUGCAGUGGUGUGAUUAUAGCUCACUGCAGCCUCGACCUCCCAGGCUCAAGUGAUGCUCCUGCCUCAGCCUGUCCAGUAGCCAUACCCUACUAGGCCCUAAUUAGCCCCAGAGGCGUGCACCACCACACCCGCUAAUGGUAAAAAUUUGUUGUAGAGACUGAGUCUUGCUGUAAUGCCCAGGCUGGUCUCCAACUCUUGGCCUCAAGAGAUCCUGCCGCCUCUACAGGAUGAGCCACCAAGCCUGGCCUCAAUUCCUCUUUAAAGGAAUAGCCUAAAUCUUAAACCAGCAAUCAAUACUUUGUAUUUAAAAUUAAGCCAGAUUAGACCGGGCUAGGUGGUUCACCCCUGUAAUCCCAGCACUUUGGGAGGCCAAGGCGGGUGAACCAUGAGGUCAGGAGUUCGAGACCAUCCUGGCUAACAUGGCAAAACCCUGUCUCUACUAAAAAUACAAAAAAAUUAGCCGGCAUGGUGGUGGGUGACUGUAAUCCCAGCUACUCGGGAGGCUGAGGCAGGAGACUCGCUUGGACCUGGGAGGGAGAGGUUGCAGUGAGCCGAGAUGGAGCCACUGCACUCUGGCCUGGGCAAUG